This 468-nucleotide ribosomal RNA is filed under the name uncultured bacterium. RNAcentral describes it as "partial 16S ribosomal RNA". It matches the Rfam family "Bacterial small subunit ribosomal RNA", at positions 28 to 507 of the family's 1533-position model. The record is from RNAcentral.
GACGAACGCUGGCGGCGUGCUUAACACAUGCAAGUCGAACGGAAAGGCCCUGCUUUUGUGGGGUGCUCGAGUGGCGAACGGGUGAGUAACACGUGAGUAACAUGCCCUUGACUUUGGGAUAACUUCAGGAAACUGGGGCUAAUACCGGAUAGGAGCUCCUGCUGCAUGGUGGGGGUUGGAAAGUUUCGGCGGUUGGGGAUGGACUCGCGGCUUAUCAGCUUGUUGGUGGGGUAGUGGCUUACCAAGGCUUUGACGGGUAGCCGGCCUGGGAGGGUGACCGGCCACAUUGGUACUGAGAUACGGCCCAGACGCCUACGGGAGGCAGCAGUGGAGAGUAUUGCGCAGUGGGCGGAAGCCUGAUACAGCGACGCCGCGUGCGGAAUGACGUCCUUCGGGUUGUAAACCGCUUUCGCCUGUGACGAAGCGUGAGUGACGGUAAUGGGUAAAGAAGCACCGGCUAACUACGUG